This 425-nucleotide ribosomal RNA is filed under the name uncultured bacterium. RNAcentral's name for it is "bacterial SSU rRNA". It matches the Rfam family "Bacterial small subunit ribosomal RNA", at positions 356 to 773 of the family's 1533-position model. The record is from RNAcentral.
GGGGAAUAUUGCACAAUGGGCGAAAGCCUGAUGCAGCAACGCCGCGUGAGUGAUGAAGGCCUUCGGGUUGUAAACCGCUUUUGUCAGAGACGAAAAGGGACGCACGAAUAAUACGUUCCGCUGACGGUAUCUGAAGAAUAAGCACCGGCUAACUACGUGCCAGCAGCCGCGGUAAUACGUAGGGUGCAAGCGUUAAUCGGAAUUACUGGGCGUAAAGGGUGCGCAGGCGGCUGUGCAAGACAGAUGUGAAAUCCCCGGGCUUAACCUGGGAACUGCAUUUGUGACUGCAAGGCUAGAGUUUGUCAGAGGAGGGUGGAAUUCCGCGUGUAGCAGUGAAAUGCGUAGAUAUGCGGAAGAACACCAAUGGCGAAGGCAGCCCUCUGGGACAUGACUGACGCUCAUGCACGAAAGCGUGGGGAGCAAAC